Molecule: ribosomal RNA, 1520 nt
Filed under: Klebsiella pneumoniae
Lineage: Bacteria; Pseudomonadati; Pseudomonadota; Gammaproteobacteria; Enterobacterales; Enterobacteriaceae
Also listed under: 1 other name
Description: bacterial SSU rRNA
Rfam family: Bacterial small subunit ribosomal RNA
Source: RNAcentral
AGAGUUUGAUCAUGGCUCAGAUUGAACGCUGGCGGCAGGCCUAACACAUGCAAGUCGAGCGGUAGCACAGAGAGCUUGCUCUCGGGUGACGAGCGGCGGACGGGUGAGUAAUGUCUGGGAAACUGCCUGAUGGAGGGGGAUAACUACUGGAAACGGUAGCUAAUACCGCAUAACGUCGCAAGACCAAAGUGGGGGACCUUCGGGCCUCAUGCCAUCAGAUGUGCCCAGAUGGGAUUAGCUAGUAGGUGGGGUAACGGCUCACCUAGGCGACGAUCCCUAGCUGGUCUGAGAGGAUGACCAGCCACACUGGAACUGAGACACGGUCCAGACUCCUACGGGAGGCAGCAGUGGGGAAUAUUGCACAAUGGGCGCAAGCCUGAUGCAGCCAUGCCGCGUGUGUGAAGAAGGCCUUCGGGUUGUAAAGCACUUUCAGCGGGGAGGAAGGCGAUAAGGUUAAUAACCUUGUCGAUUGACGUUACCCGCAGAAGAAGCACCGGCUAACUCCGUGCCAGCAGCCGCGGUAAUACGGAGGGUGCAAGCGUUAAUCGGAAUUACUGGGCGUAAAGCGCACGCAGGCGGUCUGUCAAGUCGGAUGUGAAAUCCCCGGGCUCAACCUGGGAACUGCAUUCGAAACUGGCAGGCUAGAGUCUUGUAGAGGGGGGUAGAAUUCCAGGUGUAGCGGUGAAAUGCGUAGAGAUCUGGAGGAAUACCGGUGGCGAAGGCGGCCCCCUGGACAAAGACUGACGCUCAGGUGCGAAAGCGUGGGGAGCAAACAGGAUUAGAUACCCUGGUAGUCCACGCCGUAAACGAUGUCGAUUUGGAGGUUGUGCCCUUGAGGCGUGGCUUCCGGAGCUAACGCGUUAAAUCGACCGCCUGGGGAGUACGGCCGCAAGGUUAAAACUCAAAUGAAUUGACGGGGGCCCGCACAAGCGGUGGAGCAUGUGGUUUAAUUCGAUGCAACGCGAAGAACCUUACCUGGUCUUGACAUCCACAGAACUUUCCAGAGAUGGAUUGGUGCCUUCGGGAACUGUGAGACAGGUGCUGCAUGGCUGUCGUCAGCUCGUGUUGUGAAAUGUUGGGUUAAGUCCCGCAACGAGCGCAACCCUUAUCCUUUGUUGCCAGCGGUUCGGCCGGGAACUCAAAGGAGACUGCCAGUGAUAAACUGGAGGAAGGUGGGGAUGACGUCAAGUCAUCAUGGCCCUUACGACCAGGGCUACACACGUGCUACAAUGGCAUAUACAAAGAGAAGCGACCUCGCGAGAGCAAGCGGACCUCAUAAAGUAUGUCGUAGUCCGGAUUGGAGUCUGCAACUCGACUCCAUGAAGUCGGAAUCGCUAGUAAUCGUAGAUCAGAAUGCUACGGUGAAUACGUUCCCGGGCCUUGUACACACCGCCCGUCACACCAUGGGAGUGGGUUGCAAAAGAAGUAGGUAGCUUAACCUUCGGGAGGGCGCUUACCACUUUGUGAUUCAUGACUGGGGUGAAGUCGUAACAAGGUAACCGUAGGGGAACCUGCGGUUG